Molecule: ribosomal RNA, 2722 nt
Filed under: Klebsiella pneumoniae
Lineage: Bacteria; Pseudomonadati; Pseudomonadota; Gammaproteobacteria; Enterobacterales; Enterobacteriaceae
Description: partial 23S ribosomal RNA
Rfam family: Bacterial large subunit ribosomal RNA
Source: RNAcentral
CACUAUCGUUAACUGAAUACAUAGGUUAACGAGGCGAACCGGGGGAACUGAAACAUCUAAGUACCCCGAGGAAAAGAAAUCAACCGAGAUUCCCCCAGUAGCGGCGAGCGAACGGGGAGCAGCCCAGAGUCUGAAUCAGCUUGUGUGUUAGUGGAACGGUCUGGAAAGUCCGACGGUACAGGGUGAUAGUCCCGUACACCAAAAUGCACAGGCUGUGAACUCGAAGAGUAGGGCGGGACACGUGGUAUCCUGUCUGAAUAUGGGGGGACCAUCCUCCAAGGCUAAAUACUCCUGACUGACCGAUAGUGAACCAGUACCGUGAGGGAAAGGCGAAAAGAACCCCGGCGAGGGGAGUGAAAAAGAACCUGAAACCGUGUACGUACAAGCAGUGGGAGCACCUUCGGGUGUGACUGCGUACCUUUUGUAUAAUGGGUCAGCGACUUAUAUUCUGUAGCAAGGUUAACCGUAUAGGGGAGCCGCAGGGAAACCGAGUCUUAACUGGGCGUUAAGUUGCAGGGUAUAGACCCGAAACCCGGUGAUCUAGCCAUGGGCAGGUUGAAGGUUGGGUAACACUAACUGGAGGACCGAACCGACUAAUGUUGAAAAAUUAGCGGAUGACUUGUGGCUGGGGGUGAAAGGCCAAUCAAACCGGGAGAUAGCUGGUUCUCCCCGAAAGCUAUUUAGGUAGCGCCUCGUGAACUCAUCUUCGGGGGUAGAGCACUGUUUCGGCUAGGGGGUCAUCCCGACUUACCAACCCGAUGCAAACUACGAAUACCGAAGAAUGUUAUCACGGGAGACACACGGCGGGUGCUAACGUCCGUCGUGAAGAGGGAAACAACCCAGACCGCCAGCUAAGGUCCCAAAGUCAUGGUUAAGUGGGAAACGAUGUGGGAAGGCACAGACAGCCAGGAUGUUGGCUUAGAAGCAGCCAUCAUUUAAAGAAAGCGUAAUAGCUCACUGGUCGAGUCGGCCUGCGCGGAAGAUGUAACGGGGCUAAACCAUGCACCGAAGCUGCGGCAGCGACACUAUGUGUUGUUGGGUAGGGGAGCGUUCUGUAAGCCUGCGAAGGUGACCUGUGAGGGUUGCUGGAGGUAUCAGAAGUGCGAAUGCUGACAUAAGUAACGAUAAAGCGGGUGAAAAGCCCGCUCGCCGGAAGACCAAGGGUUCCUGUCCAACGUUAAUCGGGGCAGGGUGAGUCGACCCCUAAGGCGAGGCCGAAAGGCGUAGUCGAUGGGAAACAGGUUAAUAUUCCUGUACUUGGUGUUACUGCGAAGGGGGGACGGAGAAGGCUAUGUUAGCCGGGCGACGGUUGUCCCGGUUUAAGCAUGUAGGCUGAUUGUCCAGGCAAAUCCGGAUAAUCAAGGCUGAGGUGUGAUGACGAGGCACUACGGUGCUGAAGUAACAAAUGCCCUGCUUCCAGGAAAAGCCUCUAAGCAUCAGGUAACAUUAAAUCGUACCCCAAACCGACACAGGUGGUCAGGUAGAGAAUACCAAGGCGCUUGAGAGAACUCGGGUGAAGGAACUAGGCAAAAUGGUGCCGUAACUUCGGGAGAAGGCACGCUGGUGUGUAGGUGAAGUCCCUGCGGAUGGAGCUGAGACCAGUCGAAGAUACCAGCUGGCUGCAACUGUUUAUUAAAAACACAGCACUGUGCAAACACGAAAGUGGACGUAUACGGUGUGACGCCUGCCCGGUGCCGGAAGGUUAAUUGAUGGGGUUAUCCGUAAGGAGAAGCUCUUGAUCGAAGCCCCGGUAAACGGCGGCCGUAACUAUAACGGUCCUAAGGUAGCGAAAUUCCUUGUCGGGUAAGUUCCGACCUGCACGAAUGGCGUAAUGAUGGCCAGGCUGUCUCCACCCGAGACUCAGUGAAAUUGAACUCGCUGUGAAGAUGCAGUGUACCCGCGGCAAGACGGAAAGACCCCGUGAACCUUUACUAUAGCUUGACACUGAACAUUGAGCCUUGAUGUGUAGGAUAGGUGGGAGGCUUUGAAGCGUGGACGCCAGUCUGCGUGGAGCCAACCUUGAAAUACCACCCUUUAAUGUUUGAUGUUCUAACGUUGGCCCCUGACCGGGGUUGCGGACAGUGUCUGGUGGGUAGUUUGACUGGGGCGGUCUCCUCCCAAAGCGUAACGGAGGAGCACGAAGGUUAGCUAAUCCUGGUCGGACAUCAGGAGGUUAGUGCAAUGGCAUAAGCUAGCUUGACUGCGAGCGUGACGGCGCGAGCAGGUGCGAAAGCAGGUCAUAGUGAUCCGGUGGUUCUGAAUGGAAGGGCCAUCGCUCAACGGAUAAAAGGUACUCCGGGGAUAACAGGCUGAUACCGCCCAAGAGUUCAUAUCGACGGCGGUGUUGAAGUAGGUCCCAAGGGUAUGGCUGUUCGCCAUUUAAAGUGGUACGCGAGCUGGGUUUAGAACGUCGUGAGACAGUUCGGUCCCUAUCUGCCGUGGGCGCUGGAGAAUUGAGGGGGGCUGCUCCUAGUACGAGAGGACCGGAGUGGACGCAUCACUGGUGUUCGGGUUGUCAUGCCAAUGGCACUGCCCGGUAGCUAAAUGCGGAAGAGAUAAGUGCUGAAAGCAUCUAAGCACGAAACUUGCCCCGAGAUGAGUUCUCCCUGAGACUUUAAGUCUCCUGAAGGAACGUUGAAGACGACGACGUUGAUAGGCCGGGUGUGUAAGCGCAGCGAUGCGUUGAGCUAACCGGUACUAAUGAACCGUGAGGCUUAACCUU